This 600-nucleotide ribosomal RNA is filed under the name Schizophyllum commune. Its description in RNAcentral is "eukaryotic LSU rRNA". It matches the Rfam family "Eukaryotic large subunit ribosomal RNA", at positions 38 to 615 of the family's 3401-position model. The record is from RNAcentral. Lineage: Eukaryota; Fungi; Basidiomycota; Agaricomycetes; Agaricales; Schizophyllaceae.
GCAUAUCAAUAAGCGGAGGAAAAGAAACUAACAAGGAUUCCCCUAGUAACUGCGAGUGAAGCGGGAAAAGCUCAAAUUUAAAAUCUGGCGGUCUCCGGCCGUCCGAGUUGUAAUUUAGAGAAGCGUUAUCCGUGCUGGACCGUGUAUAAGUCUCCUGGAAUGGAGCGUCAUAGAGGGUGAGAAUCCCGUCUUUGACACGGACUACCAGUGCAUUGUGAUGCGCUCUCGACGAGUCGAGUUGUUUGGGAAUGCAGCUCAAAAUGGGUGGUAAAUGCCAUCUAAAGCUAAAUAUUGGCGAGAGACCGAUAGCGAACAAGUACCGUGAGGGAAAGAUGAAAAGAACUUUGGAAAGAGAGUUAAACAGUACGUGAAAUUGUCGAAAGGGAAACGAUUGCAGUCAGUCGCGUCUGCCGGGGGAUCAACCUUGCUUUUGCUUGGCGUAUUUCCCGGUGGGAUGGGUCAGCAUCAGUUUUGACCGCAGUUGAAAGGCUGGAGGAAUGUGGCACCUUCCGGUGUGUUAUAGCCUCCUGUCAUAUGCUGCGGUUGGGACUGAAGAACUCAGCACGCCGCAAGGGCGGGAUUCGUCCACGUUCGUGCUUA